Molecule: ribosomal RNA, 416 nt
Filed under: Phyllobacteriaceae bacterium BAS211i
Lineage: Bacteria; Pseudomonadati; Pseudomonadota; Alphaproteobacteria; Hyphomicrobiales; Phyllobacteriaceae
Description: bacterial SSU rRNA
Rfam family: Bacterial small subunit ribosomal RNA
Source: RNAcentral
GGCUCAGAACGAACGCUGGCGGCAGGCUUAACACAUGCAAGUCGAGCGCCCCGCAAGGGGAGCGGCAGACGGGUGAGUAACGCGUGGGAAUCUACCCAUCUCUACGGAAUAACGCAUGGAAACGUGUGCUAAUACCGUAUACGUCCUUCGGGAGAAAGAUUUAUCGGAGAUGGAUGAGCCCGCGUUGGAUUAGCUAGUUGGUGGGGUAAAGGCCUACCAAGGCGACGAUCCAUAGCUGGUCUGAGAGGAUGAUCAGCCACACUGGGACUGAGACACGGCCCAGACUCCUACGGGAGGCAGCAGUGGGGAAUAUUGGACAAUGGGCGCAAGCCUGAUCCAGCCAUGCCGCGUGAGUGAUGAAGGCCCUAGGGUUGUAAAGCUCUUUCACCGGUGAAGAUAAUGACGUAACCGAGAGA